GGGAACAACAGCUGGAAACGGCUGCUAAUACCCCAUAGGCUGAGGAGCAAAAGGAGGAAUCCGCCCAAGGACGGGGCUCGCGUCUGAUUAGUUAGUUGGUGAGGCAAUGGCUUACCAAGGCGACGAUCAGUAGCUGGUCCGAGAGGAUGAUCAGCCACACUGGGACUGAGACACGGCCCAGACUCCUACGGGAGGCAGCAGUGGGGAAUUUUCCCAUGGGCGAAAGCCUGACGGAGCAAUGCCGCUUU
RNAcentral lists this ribosomal RNA (248 nucleotides) under uncultured organism. Its description in RNAcentral is "partial 16S ribosomal RNA". It matches the Rfam family "Bacterial small subunit ribosomal RNA", at positions 139 to 400 of the family's 1533-position model. The record is from RNAcentral.